CAGUAGCCGCGGGAAUACGAAGGGGGCUAGCGUUGCUCGGAAUGACUGGGCGUAAAGGGCGCGUAGGCGGUUGGUACAGUCAGAUGUGAAAUUCCUGGGCUUAACCUGGGGGCUGCAUUUGAUACGUGCUGGCUUGAGUGGGGAAGAGGGUCGUGGAAUUCCCAGUGUAGAGGUGAAAUUCGUAGAUAUUGGGAAGAAUACCGGUGGCGAAGGCGGCGACCUGGUCCUUUACUGACGCUGAGGCGCGAAAGCGUGGGGAGCAAACAGGAUUAGAUACCCCCGUAGUCCCUGUCUCUUAUAC
This 301-nucleotide ribosomal RNA is filed under the name uncultured bacterium. RNAcentral's name for it is "partial 16S ribosomal RNA". It matches the Rfam family "Bacterial small subunit ribosomal RNA", at positions 509 to 807 of the family's 1533-position model. The record is from RNAcentral.